RNAcentral lists this ribosomal RNA (402 nucleotides) under uncultured Coriobacteriaceae bacterium. Its description in RNAcentral is "partial 16S ribosomal RNA". It matches the Rfam family "Bacterial small subunit ribosomal RNA", at positions 355 to 774 of the family's 1533-position model. The record is from RNAcentral. Lineage: Bacteria; Bacillati; Actinomycetota; Coriobacteriia; Coriobacteriales; Coriobacteriaceae.
UGGGGAAUUUUGCGCAAUGGGCGAAAGCCUGACGCAGCAACGCCGCGUGCGGGACGAAGGCCUUCGGGUUGUAAACCGCUUUCAGCAGGGACGAAACUGACUGUACCUGCAGAAGAAGCUCCGGCUAACUACGUGCCAGCAGCCGCGGUAAUACGUAGGGAGCAAGCGUUAUCCGGAUUUAUUGGGCGUAAAGCGCGCGUAGGCGGCUUGUUAAGUCAGGUGUGAAAGCCGGGGGCUCAACCCGCGGAUUGCAUCUGAAACUGGCAGGCUUGAGUGUGGUAGAGGAAAGUGGAAUUCCCGGUGUAGCGGUGAAAUGCGCAGAUAUCGGGAGGAACACCAGUGGCGAAGGCGGCUUUCUGGGCCACCACUGACGCUGAGGCGCGAAAGCUAGGGGAGCGAACA